RNAcentral lists this ribosomal RNA (675 nucleotides) under uncultured bacterium. RNAcentral describes it as "bacterial SSU rRNA". It matches the Rfam family "Bacterial small subunit ribosomal RNA", at positions 808 to 1482 of the family's 1533-position model. The record is from RNAcentral.
GAUGAAUACUAGGUGUAGGGGUUGUCAUGACCUCUGUGCCGCCGCUAACGCAUUAAGUAUUCCGCCUGGGGAGUACGGUCGCAAGAUUAAAACUCAAAGGAAUUGACGGGGGCCCGCACAAGUAGCGGAGCAUGUGGUUUAAUUCGAAGCAACGCGAAGAACCUUACCUAGACUUGACAUCUCCUGAAUUACCAUGUAAUGUGGGAAGUCCCUUCGGGGACAGGAAGACAGGUGGUGCAUGGUUGUCGUCAGCUCGUGUCGUGAGAUGUUGGGUUAAGUCCCGCAACGAGCGCAACCCUUAUUGUUAGUUGCUACCAUUUAGUUGAGCACUCUAGCGAGACUGCCCGGGUUAACCGGGAGGAAGGUGGGGAUGACGUCAAAUCAUCAUGCCCCUUAUGUCUAGGGCUACACACGUGCUACAAUGGCCGGUACAACGAGAUGCAAUACCGUGAGGUGGAGCAAAACUAUAAAACCGGUCUCAGUUCGGAUUGUAGGCUGAAACUCGCCUACAUGAAGCUGGAGUUACUAGUAAUCGCGAAUCAGAAUGUCGCGGUGAAUACGUUCCCGGGCCUUGUACACACCGCCCGUCACACCAUGAGAGUUGGCAAUACCCAAAGUUGGUGAUCUAACCCGUAAGGGAGGAAGCCACCUAAGGUAGGGUCAGCGAUUGGGGCG